AGUCACUUCCGGUAUUUCAGACAAUCCCUUUCCGUCAAGAGCCACUUGUUAAUUUGUUGCGGACUUGUUAUUUUGUUGUCAAUUUUUUUAUUUGCCUUUUUUUAUGUAGAAGUGUUUUCUAAAAUGUUAUUUUGUUGUCUAUGUUGUAAAUGUGCUUUGCACUUCCCAGCCACCGUACUUAUAUCUUCUUUUGUGAUAAAUAAUCCAAGUGUAAUCUACAAACGGGUGAGUUUGCCUAUGGCAACACAAAUAAAAUGACAAUAAUAUCAAUAAAAGUUACUCUCGCACUUCAACAAAACAGCAUGUCUCCUGUCCGUCUGUGUACAUCAACAAGCAAUUGCUGUCGGCUGCAUAGCUCCGUGCUGUAGGACGGUGAGCUCGGAGCUGUAGGACGGUAAGCUCGGAGCUGUAGGACGGUGAGCGCCGUGCUGUAGGACGGUGAGCUCGGAGCUGUAGGACGGUAAGCGCCGUGCUGUAGGACGGUGAGCUCGGUGCUGUAGGACGGUGAGCUCGGAGCUGUAGGACGGUGAGCUCGGUGCUGUAGGACGGUCAGCUCGGUGCUGUAGGACGGUAAGCGCCGUCCUGUGGGACGGUCAGCUCGGUGCUGUAGGACAGAUAGCUUUACUGUAACCCGGGUUAAAAAGAAGAAUGAAUAGUAAAAGAUAAGUAAAGUCUAAGAAUAUAAAUACCAAAGAGUUAAAUUCAUUUGUUCAACUUUCUUGUACAUUAAAAAGAUAAAAGUUCAUGUAAAAUGAUUAAAAACGUGUUUGCAUUGUUUAAAAUAAGUUAUCUUUCUUUUCUUGUGAAUUUCUUGUGAAAAGUGUAAUUUCCUACGGGGAUAUGGUCUGUGAAGGUAACACAGGGUGGAGAAGGAAAAAGGAAAAAGAGAGCGCGAGGAGAGAGGGUGGUGCGUGAGUUACACGGAGUAUGCGGAGAAGUUAGCUUGUUUUUAUGUACUAGUAAGUGUGUUUUGACUUUUCGGAAAGAUAAGACACAGUGUCGGUAAGCUAGUGACAUAACACGUAAAGUUUCAGCGUGAGUCUGCUGGACUGUGUGUUUUGUUUCCUGCGGCCGUGCACGCAUUGAGUAAAAGUGAGGCUAACCCAGCCGUUCGCUAAUAAAGACUACUCUGCCGUUUUGCUAAAGUUGUGGAACGUAAAAAAGCUGCAGAGGAUCGUUACCGAACUGGAUA
This is a long non-coding RNA of Oreochromis niloticus (Nile tilapia), 1192 nucleotides long. RefSeq lists it as uncharacterized. The record is from RefSeq and is a predicted model, not a curated record. The transcript has 2 exons. NCBI's taxonomy places the organism in Eukaryota, Metazoa, Chordata, Actinopteri, Cichliformes, Cichlidae.